RNAcentral lists this ribosomal RNA (425 nucleotides) under uncultured bacterium. RNAcentral describes it as "partial 16S ribosomal RNA". It matches the Rfam family "Bacterial small subunit ribosomal RNA", at positions 354 to 796 of the family's 1533-position model. The record is from RNAcentral.
GUGGGGAAUAUUGGGCAAUGGGGGAAACCCUGACCCAGCAACGCCGCGUGAAGGAAGAAGGUUUUCGGAUCGUAAACUUCUAUCCUUGGUGAAGAUAAUGACGGUAGCCAAGAAGGAAGCCCCGGCUAACUACGUGCCAGCAGCCGCGGUAAUACAUAGGGGGCAAGCGUUGUCCGGAAUGAUUGGGCGUAAAGGGCGCGUAGGCGGCCUGGUAAGUCUGGAGGGAAAGUCCUGCUUUUAAGGUGGGAAUUGCUUUGCAUACUGUCGGGCUUGAGUGCAGGAGAGGUAAGCGGAAUUCCCGGUGUAGCGGUGAAAUGCGUAGAGAUCGGGAGGAACACCAGUGGCGAAGGCGGCUUACUGGACUGUAACUGACGCUGAGGCACGAAAGCGUGGGGAGCAAACAGGAUUAGAUACCCCAGUAGUCC